CCUCCAUUUCUUGGCAUGCACAUGAUUGUUUAGUACGUGUGUGUGUAAUGUACGGAGGAAAAGUGAAUGCAGCGCUAUGUCUUCGGUACCGGUGUGUAUUUUAUUGUCUGCCGGUUCUAUCCUCAAACGCUGUUACAUUC
Small nucleolar RNA from Scatophagus argus, 140 nucleotides. RefSeq annotates it as small nucleolar RNA SNORA57. The record is from RefSeq and is a predicted model, not a curated record. Lineage: Eukaryota; Metazoa; Chordata; Actinopteri; Scatophagidae. The transcript has a single exon.